This 449-nucleotide ribosomal RNA is filed under the name uncultured bacterium. RNAcentral's name for it is "partial 16S ribosomal RNA". It matches the Rfam family "Bacterial small subunit ribosomal RNA", at positions 354 to 796 of the family's 1533-position model. The record is from RNAcentral.
GUGGGGAAUCUUCCGCAAUGGACGAAAGUCUGACGGAGCGACGCCGCGUGAGUGAUGAAGGCCUUCGGGUCGUAAAGCUCUGUCAUCGGGGACGAACGGCCUCAGCAGGUAAUGGCUGGGGAUUGACGGUACCCGAGAAGGAAGCCACGGCUAACUACGUGCCAGCAGCCGCGGUAAUACGUAGGUGGCAAGCGUUUUCCGGAAUUAUUGGGCGUAAAGCGCGCGCAGGUGGGAUCUUAAGUCCAUUUUGAAAGUUCGGAGCUCAACUCCGUGAUGGGAUGGAAACUGGGAUUCUUGAGUACCGGAGAGGAAAGCGGAAUUCCCCGUGUAGCGGUGAAAUGCGUAGAUAUGGGGAGGAACACCAGUGGCGAAGGCGGCUUUCUGGACGGUGUCUGACACUGAGGCGCGAAAGCCAGGGGAGCGAACGGGAUUAGAAACCCCUGUAGUCC